GCCUCCUUAGCUCAGUUGGUUAGAGCAUCUGACUGUUAAUCAGGGGGUCUCAGGUUCAAGUCCUGAAGGGGGCGCAA
RNAcentral lists this transfer RNA (77 nucleotides) under Lentimicrobiaceae bacterium. Its description in RNAcentral is "tRNA-Asn". It matches the Rfam family "tRNA". From Rfam's summary of the family: Transfer RNA (tRNA) molecules are approximately 80 nucleotides in length. Their secondary structure includes four short double-helical elements and three loops (D, anti-codon, and T loops). The record is from RNAcentral. Lineage: Bacteria; Pseudomonadati; Bacteroidota; Bacteroidia; Bacteroidales; Lentimicrobiaceae.